UGAAAAAACAAGGUUUCUUCCAAGGCCACGAGACAACAGGCAAGCCCCAGCACGUCCUUCCCUUGCACACACACUUUCUCCCUGAACUCUACAUCUGGACACAUCCCUGAGGCUUUUUCAGGCACAGUCCCUGCUAGGAAAAGCAGCAGGCAAGUGGGUAGGUGACGCCUCGCAUGUCUCUCCCUCCGCUGUGAUGACCAACUCAUCCCUCAUUGAACUCUGCUGCCCUUUCUCAGGGUCACUGGUCCUUCUCCUGAAAGUGCCCUGUUUUCUCGUCUUUCUCCAUCCAAGGCCAGCUCACUCACCUUCUCCCCCAGAGCCUCACUACCUUCUCUUUUCCUCUGCAGAGAUGGCUCCGAAGUCAAAAAAGAAGGGGCACCCCGGGAGGGAGCAGAAGAAGGUACAUGGGCUCAGGGGCAUCCUUCAUUAGGUGGGACGUUGGGUCUGGCCCGGGCCAGUUCUGCCUGCCUGACAUCAGCCUGUCUGUCUGUCUCUCUGUCUGCAGCACCAUCAUCACCACCAUCAGCAGAUGCAGCAGGCCCCGGCUCCUGUGCCCCAGCAGCCUCCCCCGCCUCCCCAGCAG
This 583-nucleotide small RNA is filed under the name Pongo abelii (Sumatran orangutan). RNAcentral describes it as "retained intron". The record is from RNAcentral. Lineage: Eukaryota; Metazoa; Chordata; Mammalia; Primates; Hominidae.